This 811-nucleotide long non-coding RNA is filed under the name Fukomys damarensis (Damara mole-rat). RNAcentral's name for it is "lncRNA (ENSFDAG00000026888.1)". The record is from RNAcentral. Lineage: Eukaryota; Metazoa; Chordata; Mammalia; Rodentia; Bathyergidae.
CUCUGCGCAUGCAGUCUGUCACCAGGAGCGUCUGCGCUAAGGAGUGGGCUGUUUGCAGAAUUUUCAGUAGAGCUUGCACGUGGAUGUUCUUUCACUGAUUUUCUCCUUGGAUGUGUUUGUGAACCACCUACACAUAGUGCCGGGUGCUUCUGUUUCCUCUUGGGAAGGAAGAAAAAAUUUCCUGGGGAAGAAUUAGACACAUCUAAUGUCCAGCAUAUUUGUACGGUUUCCAGCUCAGCUGUUAGCAUUCUGCAGUUUAUUUACAUACCCGUCUCCUCUUACCUUGAACCCUCAGACAAGGGGACUUCUGGGUAAGGGACCUCUGCUGGGUCUCAUGGAGAAAGAAGGCAAAGGCGACAAGGUGGAUCCUCAUGUUCUGAAGUUCGACUUUGGCAGAGACUGCUUGGGAGUAAAGAGGAGCUCGUGGCAGGUGGGACUUCGGGCCUCCAGUGCAGGGCACCCGUGUGGGACGCAGCUGAUGGAAGGGAGAAGAGACAGUUUUCAGGGCCGGAAGGCGGUCCUCAGUCUCGCCACUUACGCUGUCUCUGCUCUUCACGACGUUUUGUUUUCCUCUCUUCCGUGGCCCAGAGAUAACAUUACCAGCAGGGCAUUAUUCCUAAACACUCCUUUCCCGUGCUUCCCACCCUGUAUCAGCUGCCUCCAUUUCCAGCCAAAAUUCACUGAUUGACAAGGGACCCGGACUUCUCACAAAUGGCUAUUGCCUGAGCAGAAAGGAAGAGCUUUCUGGGGAGACUCAGGGGACUAGAAACGGAGGUGUAGGAUUUCAGGAUUGGGGGACUGCAGUCCAGGC